AGUCCGAUUUCCCGUUCACACCCCCCUUCCAACCCCACCCAAGGGGCCAGCUUUGCCAAGGUCAUUGCGGUAGCGCGGCAUGCCUGUGUUACAAACGCCUGCUGUAUAUUGUGUAACUCUGUCCCAUCUCCUCUUUUCGCCGUGGGUUCGGAGAAGGAUCGCAGCUCACUUUUAUAAUUUAGUGUGUACAGCAAAUUUCUGUUACGCCCGGGAAGAAGGAAAUUUGAGUUAAAGAGGAAGGCAGCUCCCUGCGCCUUGUAACAAGCAAGCUAAUUGAAACAUUUAAUUCAGGAAGAGAUACGACAAGGCCAAAAUGAAAGAGGAACCAGGCCUGCCGAGGUUCGGAGCAGGAAAACCAAAGAAGUUACCAUCCCCACGUUAAAAAUUACAUGGGGCCCGGGAAAUAGAGCGCCUGCUGUAUUUGUCAUUGAGAUUCACAAUCUUGUUUGCUGUUUAUCGGGAGGCUCACGGAGCUCUCCUGCUGGUUCGAAAAAAGGAGGCGAGGCCCAGGAAGAAAUGCUAGUAAUAAGAAAGGGAGGGAUUAGAAGCCCCAGAGAGACCGGGAGGUGUAAAUAAUAUGUGGGCAUGUGACAAUCAGCACAAAAGAAAGGAGAGACAAAGCCAAAGGCCUGAUGCCAGAGAUCCUAAAAACUCAAGUGGGUAACAGUGCAGGGAGCAUGUCCCAAAGAAAAAAGGAAAACAAAAUCCCAGAAGAUCUUUUUCCUUUGUGAUGAUGUAGUCGAAUGGAGUAAAUAAAUGUUGGGUUUGCCAUGGUGCUCCCGCAAGCUAGGCUGUGUGCGAGGAAACUAGCUUCAGAGGCACUUCCCAGGUCAGCCUGAGCCUUAGGACAAGGGGGGGUGAAGUCAGAGACCAGAGUCUUCCACCAGAAAGGAGAUGAGCCUGGGACAGAAGGAGGACUUGGUAGGGGUAGAAUUCUCGUUCUCCCCAUGAGCCCAAUCUGUCUGGGUCACCUACGUCCUUCUGCUCCUCUUCCCCCCCCCAGGACUCUCCCUUGAGUGGAUUGGCGUAGGAAAGAGCGAAAAGGCAUUUGUAACCAAAAGCUAAGGAGGGUGAAGUUAAACUCCCCAGACAACGGCCUCCUCUUCCUGAGGCUGCCUGGUGGGGUUGAGUGUGACCCUUCCUAACUGCAUGACUUCUUUACCGGAAGAGGAGAGAAUAAUACUACUAAUGAGAAGUAAGAUCUGUAGAAUUCUUAGAGGGAAUAAGUUACACACUGAUCCCUGUUAUCCUUGGAGCCAAAUGAGGUAGCCUAGUUACGAUGCCCAUUUUGCAAAUGAAUGGAGAAUGGGCCAACCCCCCAACUAGGAAAUGGUAGAGGCAGAAUAUAAUUCUUUCUGGACCCUUGGCAAUUACAGUCUGAUGACUGAACCCAGUUCAAUGCCUGUUUUUGUAAAUAAAGUUUUAUUGGAACACAGUCAUGCUCAC
Molecule: long non-coding RNA, 1446 nt
Filed under: Mustela putorius furo (domestic ferret)
Lineage: Eukaryota; Metazoa; Chordata; Mammalia; Carnivora; Mustelidae
Description: lncRNA (ENSMPUG00000031483.1)
Source: RNAcentral